CCAAACUCUGUGCCAUGCUGUUUGGACUUUUACCUUUCAAAACUGUGAAUUUUGAAAGCUUUAAUAGAGUUUUUUUUGGAAGACUCUUUUUUUUAAUAACUCACCUGUGAGCACAAAUCUUAAGACAAGCCAGUGGGACUUAAUCCUGGAGUUGCUUCACUUGGAGAAUAAAACUGUCCACAGAAGGGAGAGCUUGAUAGCUAAUGAAGCCAACACAGAGGACAGCAGAGCCAAGAAUGGGGAGAGAGACUUGGCACUAUUUGAGCACCUGGAUUCAGCCAUACCUGAAGCCAACAUGUGACAAUCUCUUUUAAGAACCAAAGGAACCAAAGGAGGGAUUUAUGCUUUGUAGUGCCUCAAACCAUACUCUGAAAAUCCUUAACCUAAACAUCCCAAU
RNAcentral lists this long non-coding RNA (397 nucleotides) under Heterocephalus glaber (naked mole-rat). RNAcentral describes it as "lncRNA (ENSHGLG00100044474.1)". Lineage: Eukaryota; Metazoa; Chordata; Mammalia; Rodentia; Bathyergidae. The record is from RNAcentral.